GACUACCACUACUUUUCCCUUCGUCUCAAUUAUGUCUUGGAAAAAGGCUUUGCGGAUCCCCGGAGGCCUUCGGGCAGCAACUGUGACCUUGAUGCUGGCGAUGCUGAGCACCCCAGUGGCUGAGGGCAGAGGGUCUCCCGAGGAUUUCGUGGUCCAGUUUAAGGCCAUGUGCUACUUCACCAACGGGACAGAGCGCGUGCGUUACGUGACCAGAUACAUCUAUAACCGAGAGGAGUACGCGCGCUUCGACAGCGACGUGGAGGUGUACCGGGCGGUGACGCCGCUGGGACAGUCUAGCGCCGAGUACUGGAACAGCCAGAAGGAAGUCCUGGAGACGAAACGGGCGGAGCUGGACACGGUGUGCAGACACAACUACCAGUUGGAACUCCGCACGACCUUGCAGCGGCGAGGUGAGCGUUGUCGCCUCUCCACGAGGCCCACCCUUGGCCGGGGCCUGAGUCUCUGCGCUGGGAGGGACGAGGGGGCGCGGCCUCUGGAACCUGAGCCCUGUUCGUUCCACCCCAGGGGACAGGAGUUGGCGGCGUGAGUGGUGGGGCAGGUGCAUCAGAGGGGCGGGGAUCUAGGGCAGAGCAGGGGUACAGGCAGAGUUGGUCAGACUGCCUAGUGUCUCCCCAGCCUCCGCGUCCGUCGGCCUAGUCCUCUGCUCUGUACGUUUCUUGCCUCGUGCCUUACCUUCGCUAAGCAGUUCUCUCUGCCCCGAAUGCCCGCCCUCUUUCCCUGCCCGCCUGCCCCACUAGCACUGCCCCGCCCAGCAAGGCCCACGUGCACAGCUCGCGCCGCAGGAAGCUUCAGGCUUGGCCUGGUGGAAUUGGGGCUGCCCCACAACUGCGCGCGGGGCAUCUAGCAAUUUCAGUUGUGAAAUAAGAUAUUUUGACUUUUUGGCUUCAAAUUAUUAUUCAUCGUAAUUCUGUUUUCUUACAUGGCUCUCAUUCAUGGCGGAGCUCUUUGAGGGGAGAGAAUGUUUUAAUCAUUGUAUGCCUGGUAUCUGACACAUUGACUGGCAUGUGGUAUGAGCUCAAUGAUCUUCUGUUAAAUUACUGAAUAAAUGUACUCAGCUGCCCAUCCACUUAGGUUCAAGAAAAAACAGAGGUAAACAGAACAUUAAAAAUGGACUUUAUUAAUUAUUUUCUAUCAUUUUGCUUAAUGCUUUAAAGUAAACUCUUAUUGACUUGGAUCUAAAUAGAGUUUGUGAAUACAAAGUCUGAGGAAAAAAGUGUUUGCUAAAAAUAAAAACAACGCUUGAAUGAUGUUGUAAGGCAGAGUUUUAAUUUCUUAGAAAAGCUGAACAAAUGGCACAAUGCAAAGAGCAGAAGUUUUGGAAUAAAUAGAUUGAAGCCAUUAAAUUAUUGGAUAAAAAUAGUUUCAGGUUGCUUUUGGCCUAGGUUCUCCCCUCCCCCCAUCACUAUCCACUUCAGGAAUAAACAUGCUGAAAGUCAAUUUUACCCAUUUAGUGAGCACUUAUUUCUAGGCAGUUGCCUUAUCAAAUACCAUCUAUGUUAUGUCAUUUAAUCUCACAGUUACCUGUGCAUUGGAGAUUAGCAUCACCACUUUAUAUAUCCUAAUAUUAGUACAUGAUAAACACUUUAAGUAAUCAGCCCACAAUUACUCACCAAGACCUUAAGCUCCCAAGUACAAAACGUUAUAUUCUUCACUACACAUCUAUAGAGUCAAAGGGACAUAAAGCCUUGUUAAAGCCAGUUUUGACUAGAAGCAGCAAUGAGUCUAUUCCUGUUUGUUCUCCAUGUUAAUGGGACAAAAUGAUACUUUCAAGGCAUUGAAAAUUUAUGAUUAAUCAUCAAUCCCUAGUCUGACUCCAGUGUUACCUAUGCAGAUUCACAAAACUUUUAGUUUACUUUAUACUCCCUUGCCUUCUUUUGACUUACAUCCUAUUGCCAGCAAGUACUUAUAUUUUUGCUGUUUCAGUUCUAUUUCCAUAAAAUUUAUUUUAUCAUCUUUUCUCAUAAAUUUGUGCCCUCUAUUUUUACUCCCAAUCUGUGUAAGAUGAACAAAUCUUAUAAGGCCACAUAGCUGACUGUGAUUCAGGUGGCCUCCAGGAAGGAGAACCUAAAGAAAAGUUCAAGUCCAAGCAGAAACUGUGAUUCCUUCUGGAUGAUGGCUCAAGAGUGCCGUUUAAUUGGGGUGCAACCUGCUGACCUCAGCAAAUGUAUAUGUUCACAUUACAGGCUCAUUAACUCAGGCCGACCUCUGCAAGGAUCUCAGAAUAUUUUCUACAGAUAACAUGCAUGAUAAUGUCUGAUUUCAGACAAAAAAGUAAUUCUCAAUAGCAAGGGAAUGGAGUAGGGUAGACAGCUAGUAAUUAAACUCACUUGUGUGUUAAAAAUAAAUUAAGGAAAAAAAGAAAAUGAGAGAACAUAUUACUAAAUAAAGAAAGCAUACAUUAAAUAUUUACUAUAGUUUCACACUAAGAGAAUAAAGGAAAUGCAAGGAAGUGGCCUGAAAGGUAAAGGAUGAGCUGUGUACAGAGGCAGGGAAAGGUGUGCCAUUUUUUUUACUAUGAGCAGCAAUCUGAGAAGAUAAAGGAAUCAAGUUAUGGGCAAACAUGAUGUUUGAUCAGUGUUAUUUGUUUUGAAGGCCUGCCUAAUUUUUUUUUCAAAUAUUACAAACUUUUGAAAUAACAUUCUUUUUGUUUUUGGGUGUCUGUUACUAGACUGCGCAUUCUGUAAAGAUAGGGACCAUGGUGUAUUGUUUAUCUUUGGAUUCUCAGUGAUUGUCAUAUUUAUAUUUGACGAAUGAAUCUUAAUCCAAGACUUGGACUCCAGGUAUCUUUCCACUCUGGUUCCAAGGAGGGACCCUUCCCAAUGGUAGACGUGCUGUGUGGUCUCACAUCUCACUCUUAUGUAUUUUCCUGUCUGUUACUGCCUUCAGUGGAGCCCACAGUGACCAUCUCCCCAUCCAGGACAGAGGCCCUCAACCACCACAACCUGCUGGUCUGCUCAGUGACAGAUUUCUAUCCAGCCCAGAUCAAAGUCCGGUGGUUUCGGAAUGACCAGGAGGAGACAACCGGCGUUGUGUCCACCCCCCUUAUUAGGAACGGUGACUGGACAUUCCAGAUCCUGGUGAUGCUGGAAAUAACUCCCCAGCGUGGAGACGUCUACACCUGCCACGUGGAGCACCCCAGCCUCCAGAGCCCCAUUACUGUGGAGUGGCGUAAGGGGAUAUUGAGUUUCUGUUACUAUGGGCCCCACAAGACAAAGGGCAGAGCUCCUUCUGACCCAUCCCUUCCCAUCCCUUAUCCCUGAUGUCACUACUGAGCUGGGAAUCACAGGAGACUAGAGCACCUCUUGCUCCAUGGCAAGUGCAUCAGAAGAAUCCUGAUCUCAUCACCUUUCCAGAUGCUAGGGAAAUUACUCUACAUACUGUUUCUCUGGAUCCCAGUCCUGAUAGCUCAGAGGAACUGAUUAUUAGGGCUGGUGACUGGGAUCUUAGGGUUUAAGGUUAUGGAUGAGUUCCUGAGGAGUGGAGAUCUGCUUCCCCGCUCUCUCACCUACUCACUGUACCCAAGGACCUAUUGGCUGGCCUUUCCUUCCCUUAGGGGUGGUCUGAAUGGAGAACUAGGUUCCUUUGACGCCUUCACCUCCUGCUUCUCAGACUGGACUUCAGCUCCUCAGCAGGGAUGCUAUGGGGUGUGGGGACAAACACUGACACUCAGGCUCUGCUUCUCAGGGGCUCAGUCUGAAUCUGCCCAGAGUAAGAUGGUGAGUGGCGUUGGAGGCUUCGUGCUGGGGCUGAUCUUCCUCGGGCUGGGCCUUAUUAUCCAUCACAGGAGUCAGAAAGGGCUCCUGCACUGACUCCUGAGACUAUUUUAACUGGGAUUGGUUACCACUCUUCUGUAAUGCCUGCUUGUCCCUGCCCAGAAUUCCCAACUGCCUGUGUCAGCCUGUCCCCCUGAGAUCAGAGUUCUACAGUGGCUGUCAUGCAGCCACCAGGUCAUCUCCUUUCAUCCCCACCCCAAGGCUCUGGCUGUGACUCUGCUUCCUGCACUGACCCAGAGCCUCUGCCUGUGCAUGGCCAGCUGCGUCUACUCAGGUCCCAAGGGGUUUCUGUUUCUAUUCUCUCCUCAGACUGCUCAAGAGAAGCACAUGAAAACCAUUACCUGACUUUAGAGCUUUUUUACAUAAUUAAACAUGAUCCUAAGUUAUCCAUAUUCUCAACUUCCUUAAUUGAGCAGAGGCAGGAAAUCACUGCAGAAUGAAGGAACAUACCUUGAGGUGACCCAGCCAACCUGUGGCCAGAAGGAGGGUUGUACCUUGAAAAGACACUGAAAGAAUUUGGGGUACAAAGUCAGGGUGGGCAGAGGAGGUAGAAAAUCAGCUCAGUUGUCACAUCAUUCUUGGUUCUUUCAUAUUGAUGUUCAGUGCAGUGGCCUGAGAAUAUCCCAGCCUCUCUUCUGGUUUGAUGAGUGCUGUGUAAGUAAGCAUGGUGGAAUUGUUUGGGGACAGAUAUAGUGACCCUUGGUCACUGGUGUUUCAAACAUUCUGGCAAGUCUCAUCAAUCAAGAAUAAUUUUUACUUUUAAGAAAGCAUAACCAGCAAUAUAAGUACUAUUUUUGAUUCUAAA
RNAcentral lists this small RNA (4599 nucleotides) under Pongo abelii (Sumatran orangutan). Its description in RNAcentral is "retained intron". The record is from RNAcentral. Lineage: Eukaryota; Metazoa; Chordata; Mammalia; Primates; Hominidae.